Molecule: ribosomal RNA, 963 nt
Filed under: Triticum aestivum (bread wheat)
Lineage: Eukaryota; Viridiplantae; Streptophyta; Magnoliopsida; Poales; Poaceae
Description: partial small subunit ribosomal RNA
Source: RNAcentral
AUGUGUGAGACCUUGGAAGAGUUUCAUCAGUACAUGGACACAAGCAAGAGUCUUCGUGGUCCAGUGCACUUGUUUGAUGCGAUUAGGGAUGUGAAGCAUGAUUUGCGUCGUGGGGUUAAGAGCUAUGUGGAUGGAUCAUUUUCCAAUAUGCUAAAGAAGAUGCAGCAGAAGUUCAAGAAAUAUUGGAAACUCUGUUGCUUACAUUUAUGUAUGACUAUAGCCAUGGAUCCUUCAUACGGCCUGAAACACAUCAAGUCUAGGAGCGGUUACCUCUGUAAAAAUGAAAAAGAUGGCUAUAAAAAGGAUGUCCAUGAUACAUUGCUCAGUCUCUUCUAUGAAUAUUCUGGUCAGGUGGAAGACCCUAGCUGCACUUCUGGGUCCAAAACUAGCAAGGAAACUGUUAUCAUUGAAGAUGGUAUGAAUGAAGAUGAUGCGCCAUUUGCAUGCUGUGGCGAUUAUGGAGACAAAUGUAAUAAGGGGCGACCGAUGAUAGAACUUGACCAGUACUUGCAUGAGCCAAGCUACUGUAGAGGCCAGACGAGUGUUCUUCAGUGGUGGAAGGAACAUAACCUGACUUAUCCUACAAUUGCUCGGAUGGCACGCGAUAUAUUGGCUAUGCCAUACAGAUGCGAUUAUGAGGUAGCAACAACGACUGCCGGACUUGCAAUUUGUGAGUCAGGUCAUAAGCACUGGGUUGAGCAGCUUGUCUGUACUCAAGAUUGGCUCGGACCUAACCGUACGUUCUACUCUCUCGCUUUUCUCAUUGAUGUCCUGUCACGUUCUCGUAUUAACCAUACAUUGUGUAACCCUAGGUUCUGCAAGCAAGGUCUCAACCAGCGAUCUUUCGGACUGAGUACUUGGGCCUUCUUAAUCUUCCAUGAUCCUGUUUAUCUUUUUGGAAGGAGACGCCGGAUUCAAAGACGAGAAAUGUGUGAAGGGCGACAUUUGUUUAGACGGUUUUAG